GAUGAACGCUGGCGGCGUGCCUAAUACAUGCAAGUCGAGCGAACGGACGAGAAGCUUGCUUCUCUGAUGUUAGCGGCGGACGGGUGAGUAACACGUGGAUAACCUACCUAUAAGACUGGGAUAACUUCGGGAAACCGGAGCUAAUACCGGAUAAUAUUUUGAACCGCAUGGUUCAAAAGUGAAAGACGGUCUUGCUGUCACUUAUAGAUGGAUCCGCGCUGCAUUAGCUAGUUGGUAAGGUAACGGCUUACCAAGGCAACGAUGCAUAGCCGACCUGAGAGGGUGAUCGGCCACACUGGAACUGAGACACGGUCCCGACUCCUACGGGAGGCAGCAGUAGGGAAUCUUCCGCAAUGGGCGAAAGCCUGACGGAGCAACGCCGCGUGAGUGAUGAAGGUCUUCGGAUCGUAAAACUCUGUUAUUAGGGAAGAACAUAUGUGUAAGUAACUGUGCACAUCUUGACGGUACCUAAUCAGAAAGCCCCGGCUAACUACGUG
This 497-nucleotide ribosomal RNA is filed under the name uncultured bacterium. RNAcentral's name for it is "partial 16S ribosomal RNA". It matches the Rfam family "Bacterial small subunit ribosomal RNA", at positions 28 to 507 of the family's 1533-position model. The record is from RNAcentral.